Molecule: long non-coding RNA, 255 nt
Organism: Lagopus leucura (white-tailed ptarmigan)
Lineage: Eukaryota; Metazoa; Chordata; Aves; Galliformes; Phasianidae
Exons: 3
Source: RefSeq, a predicted model, not a curated record
CUUGAAAGGAGCAGUGCCUGUGAGGCCUCGGGAAAAUUGCUUCACCAAGUCUGACCGGGCUCUGAAAAGUGCAGGGGUCUCCAUGGACCUGCAGAGAUCAUCCAGGUCUGCAUGGUACUGCAGGGUGGCUUGGAUCCUGUGCGCUCCAAACGUGCUGGAGACCUUUGAGCAGCUGGACAUUUCCCCGGGAUACUGCUGGCCUAUGAAAACAUCUAACAGCCAGAUUGUCUUCAACUUGCCCACAGAAGUCCAGCC